This 241-nucleotide ribosomal RNA is filed under the name uncultured bacterium. RNAcentral's name for it is "partial 16S ribosomal RNA". It matches the Rfam family "Bacterial small subunit ribosomal RNA", at positions 104 to 334 of the family's 1533-position model. The record is from RNAcentral.
CGGGACGGGGUGGAGUAACGGCGUGGGAGUAACCUGCCUCACACUGGGGGAGAACAGUUAGAAAUGGCUGCUAAUACCGCAUAAGCGCACAGUACCGCAUGGUACGGUGUGAAAAACCCAGGUGGUGUGAGAUGGAUCCGCGUCUGAUUAGCCAGUUGGCGGGGUAACGGCCCACCAAAGCGACGAUCAGUAGCCGACCUGAGAGGGUGACCGGCCACAUUGGGACUGAGACACGGCCCAA